This is a small nucleolar RNA of Tachyglossus aculeatus (Australian echidna), 138 nucleotides long. Lineage: Eukaryota; Metazoa; Chordata; Mammalia; Monotremata; Tachyglossidae. The record is from RefSeq and is a predicted model, not a curated record.
CCCCUCUCAGGGUCACACCUGGAGAGUUUCCAGUGCUCUACCAGUCUCGACUACAGGAGGGAGAGUCAAGCAGAGGCAUAGCCAUUUCAUUCCUAACUUGGGCAGUGUCUAGCGAGUGGAAGGCAAUCUGCUACAUGU